This 573-nucleotide ribosomal RNA is filed under the name Selenomonas sputigena. RNAcentral's name for it is "bacterial SSU rRNA". It matches the Rfam family "Bacterial small subunit ribosomal RNA", at positions 394 to 958 of the family's 1533-position model. Lineage: Bacteria; Bacillati; Bacillota; Negativicutes; Selenomonadales; Selenomonadaceae. The record is from RNAcentral.
ACGCCGCGUGAGUGAAGAAGGUCUUCGGAUCGUAAAGCUCUGUUGCACGGGACGAAAACUGGGUUUGAAAACAUUGAACCUGGGUGACGGUACCGAGCGAGGAAGCCACGGCUAACUACGUGCCAGCAGCCGCGGUAAUACGUAGGUGGCGAGCGUUGUCCGGAAUUAUUGGGCGUAAAGGGAGCGCAGGCGGACAUAUAAGUCCAUCUUAAAAGUGCGGGGCUCAACCCCGUGAGGGGAUGGAAACUGUAUGCCUUGAGUGCAGGAGAGGAAAGCGGAAUUCCCAGUGUAGCGGUGAAAUGCGUAGAUAUUGGGAGGAACACCAGUGGCGAAGGCGGCUUUCUGGACUGUAACUGACGCUGAGGCUCGAAAGCCAGGGGAGCGAACGGGAUUAGAUACCCCGGUAGUCCUGGCCGUAAACGAUGAAUGCUAGGUGUAGGAGGUAUCGACCCCUCCUGUGCCGGAGUUAACGCAAUAAGCAUUCCGCCUGGGGAGUACGGUCGCAAGACUGAAACUCAAAGGAAUUGACGGGGGCCCGCACAAGCGGUGGAGUAUGUGGUUUAAUUCGACGCA